This 739-nucleotide long non-coding RNA is filed under the name Ananas comosus (pineapple). RNAcentral's name for it is "long non-coding RNA (ACOM_LNC044407)". The record is from RNAcentral. Lineage: Eukaryota; Viridiplantae; Streptophyta; Magnoliopsida; Poales; Bromeliaceae.
AGACUCAACCCUAGGCUCUGAUGCCAAAAUAUUCUAUCACGCCCCGGGACCCAGCGGAAGCCCGCCCGGUGCGUGUCCAGACCCGCACUAUGCCUACACAUAUAAGGCGUCUAGAGCAAUAGUAUACGAAAGCAAGGAAACAAAACAUCUAGAGAUAUCAGAGCAAAAAUAAAGCUAGAAUCUAACCACGAGAAAUAAGUAACUAGACUGGAAGAUCAACAUUCCCGAAGUUAAAUAAAUACAUCAAGAACCAUAAAUAGCACUAGAAACAUAAGGUGGUAGUCUCUACAAAAGGGGGGUAUCAAACUCUCAUUCUCUCCAACCAAAAUAAAGGGAGAAAAUUGAAAGUUUUGAGGAGCCCAAGGAUCUAUCUAGAUUGUAUCUAUCACCUAGAGGGGGGGGGUGAAUAGGUGUAACGGCCAAAAACCACAAAUCUCGAUGUAAUAAAAAUAAAUGCGGAAAAUAAAAAGCACACCGAGAUUUACGUGGGAAAACUCCAAUUUGGAGAAAAACCCACGGGACCAACACGCGAAAAAACAAUCCACUAAGAGAAAAGAUUACAAGGUGAUUUACCGACUCUACGGACUCAACCUCUCUUAACCUCCUAUGGAUCUCGCGCAAUCCUCCGGGUUGUCCACGCCCUCACGUCCGAAUCCACGAACGCCCCCACUUCGAAUCUACGAAGCUUCAAUCACGCCGAAUCCACGACGCUACUCGAAUCCACGAGCCCACGAUCCGA